RNAcentral lists this long non-coding RNA (427 nucleotides) under Elaeis guineensis (African oil palm). Its description in RNAcentral is "long non-coding RNA (EGUI_LNC032812)". Lineage: Eukaryota; Viridiplantae; Streptophyta; Magnoliopsida; Arecales; Arecaceae. The record is from RNAcentral.
AAUACUUAGAAGAUCCUGAUGAUCAAAAUACCAUGCAUGGAACUUGAGUUACAUCCACAUGUACCCAAAAAAUAAGAAUAAGUUACAUCUAUCACUAUUUGUCAUGGCAAGCACAAGAUAUGUCACCAAAUGAUGGCAUCUUGUUGAUUGGCUAGUAUUUUUUUUCUAAUUAUUGCAUCCGAUAAAAGAUCCUCCGAUGCUUAAGUCAGUUGGAGCUUGAGCACAGCAAUGAAGGAAGAGAAUAGGCUUAGUAUAUCAUAUCUCGAGGGUCUCCUCACUAUCUCUUUAUAUAGAGGUGGAGAAGUAGGUCGGAUCAUGAUUUGUUAGGCCGUUAGGAUAGAAAAUUUAAAGAUUGUUAGUCAUGGAUAGUGGCCACAUCCUAAUGAAGAUUCUCACUGUGGCCCACGUGGCCAAAUAGAUAGGUGAU